AGCGAACGCUGGCGGCAGGCUUAACACAUGCAAGUCGAGCGGGCGUAGCAAUACGUCAGCGGCAGACGGGUGAGUAACGCGUGGGAACAUACCUUUUGGUUCGGAACAACUGAGGGAAACUUCAGCUAAUACCGGAUAAGCCCUUACGGGGAAAGAUUUAUCGCCGAAAGAUUGGCCCGCGUCUGAUUAACUUGUUGGUGAGGUAACGGCUCACCAAGGCGACGAUCAGUAGCUGGCUGAGAGGAUGAUCAGCCACAUUGGGACUGAGACACGGCCCAAACUCCUACGGGAGGCAGCAGUGGGGAAUAUUGGACAAUGGGCGCAAGCCUGAUCCAGCCAUGCCGCGUGAGUGAUGAAGGCCCUAGGGUUGU
Molecule: ribosomal RNA, 371 nt
Filed under: uncultured bacterium
Lineage: Bacteria
Description: bacterial SSU rRNA
Rfam family: Bacterial small subunit ribosomal RNA
Source: RNAcentral